Molecule: non-coding RNA, 104 nt
Filed under: Halalkalibacter okhensis
Lineage: Bacteria; Bacillati; Bacillota; Bacilli; Caryophanales; Bacillaceae
Description: Bacillus okhensis SAM-I sequence
Rfam family: SAM riboswitch aptamer (S box leader)
About the family: The SAM riboswitch is found upstream of a number of genes which code for proteins involved in methionine or cysteine biosynthesis in Gram-positive bacteria. The SAM riboswitch acts at the level of transcription termination control.
Source: Rfam by way of RNAcentral
UUCUUAUCAAGAGAGACGGAGGGAAUGGCCCGACGAUGUCUCAGCAACCAGCCGAAGUAGGUCAGGUGCUAAUUCCAACAAGUCAAUGACUUGGAAGAUAAGAA